This 245-nucleotide ribosomal RNA is filed under the name Xenorhabdus szentirmaii. Its description in RNAcentral is "partial 23S ribosomal RNA". It matches the Rfam family "Bacterial large subunit ribosomal RNA", at positions 264 to 504 of the family's 2925-position model. Lineage: Bacteria; Pseudomonadati; Pseudomonadota; Gammaproteobacteria; Enterobacterales; Morganellaceae. RNAcentral also lists the same sequence under 1 other name. The record is from RNAcentral.
UAGCCCAAACCAAGAGGCUUGCCUCUUGGGGUUGUAGGACAUUCUAUACGGAGUUACAAAGGAACGAGGUAGACGAAGCGACCUGGAAAGGUCCGUCGUAGAGGGUAACAACCCCGUAGUCGAAACUUCGUUCUCUCUUGAAUGUAUCCUGAGUACGGCGGAACACGUGAAAUUCCGUCGGAAUCUGGGAGGACCAUCUCCCAAGGCUAAAUACUCCCUAGUGAUCGAUAGUGAACCAGUACCGU